This 14339-nucleotide long non-coding RNA is filed under the name Sarcophilus harrisii (Tasmanian devil). RNAcentral describes it as "lncRNA (ENSSHAG00000029136.1)". The record is from RNAcentral. Lineage: Eukaryota; Metazoa; Chordata; Mammalia; Dasyuromorphia; Dasyuridae.
CGCUUUCGCUUUCACUUUCCCAAGUGCCGAGGGUUCUUCUUGCUCUUGGGGUACCUGGAAAAAGAAAAGGGAGGCUUUGCGCUUUUCCCUGGCCGCUGGAAGCUGGACGUUAAUGCCCGCGCCCCGCGAGUGCUGAUGUUGGAUAACCAUGUAAUCAUUCAUUUGGAGAAACAUUUACUUUUACAUGAAGAAAUUGAAAUAGGUAAGAAAAAUUGAUCCAAUUUUCUGAUUGUAAAUGAUUGUAAUUGUUCUAGUGAGUGACCCUUAUCGAAAAGGCAAGAUCAGUGAGUUGUUAAGUUUUGGCUUGAACAUCAAUGAAGGGAAAUACUGUGAAGGUAGAAAGGUAGAUUGAAUUCAGUUUGAGAAAGGCUUGAAUGACAAUCUAAGGAGUUUGUAUUCUAUUUGGAACUGCAGGCUUUUUUAAAAAAUAAAUUUUUAUUGAUAACAUGGUUUUAUAUCAUUUUUAUAUCAUUUACAUUUCCUACUAUAGCCUUCCCUUCACCCAUAAAGCAGGAGUAGGGAAAAAAAAUGGCAAAAACCAUUUGUGGACUAUACAAAAAAUUAUCAAUUUAAUGAACUCAAGCAGUGAGAGGUUGUCAUGCCUAGCUUUCAGUUCAUCAUUGCCUGCAGUUGGCUUAGCAAAUGAUCUUGUGGGCCUUAUGACCUGUGGGCUGGAUGAACCCACAUCUACACUAGACUCUUUCUUUAUAAUAAAUAAUUUUUAAAAGAAGAAGAAAAAAAAUUAACCAUUAAAAAAUUAUAUAUAGUGUUCCACACAAAUGGCCCUUCACAUCUAUAGAAGCAGAAGAAAGUUUAUUUUCAUUCUGUUCUUGAGGCUGAAUUAUGUCAUUUACAAUUUGCAUUUAAUGUUUGUCAUUUUUUCCUUAUCCUAGUUCUACUUAUAUGACUUCAUAUUAACUCACAGAAGUCUUUGCAGACCUCUAUAGUCAUCAUAUUCUUUGUUUCUUAUAGUAUGGUAUUAUUUCACUAUAUCCACAUGCCCAAUCUGAUAACCAUUCUCCAGGCAAUGGACAUUUAUUUGGUUUCUAGUUCUUUGACAAAGAAAGACUCUCUCUCUCUCUCUCUCUCUCUCUCUCUCUCUCUCUCUCUCUCUCUCUCUCUCUAUAUAUAUAUAUAUAUAUAUAUAUAUAUAUCCUACUUGACUUGUAUACCUAUCUUUGAAUCUCUGAGGCAAGGGGUCUAUUUUAGUCACUUUAUUUGUGUAAUUCUAAAUUGCUUUCCAAAAUGGUUGGACCAAUUCAAAGCUCUGCCUAUAAUAUGUUAAUGUUCAUCUUUCCACCAUCCCUGAAACUUCCUACCUUUUGUCACACUUUUUUCCAGUUUGCUGGAUAUGAAGCAAAUCCUCAGAAUCAUUACUGGUUUGCAAUUCUUAUUUUGAGAACAAUUUGUUCAUGCUCUUUAGCCACUUAUUUAUUGGAGAAUAGCUUUGUCAAACCCCUACCAGAGAUAUUACAAAGAUUUUUUCCCUAGGCAAGCUCUUCCUUCCUUAUCAUAGUUGCAUCAAUAUCCUAGUUACAUUAACUUAAUUAAUGUAAAAGACCUUCAAUUUCAUUUAAUUGAAAUGAUUUGUUUUAUCUUUUAUAAUUAUCUCUAAUCCUUAUGUGGUUAAUAAUUUAUCCUCUCCCCAUAUAAAAGUAUUUGAUUUGUUUCUUUUCUCAUUUUAAAAAAAGUUAUAGUCAAAAAUUAAUUAAGUGAUCCUUGGCACUGUGCUAUAUGCUGAAUAUACAACAGAAGACAAAACAUGCUCUCUGCCUUCAAGGAAAUUACAUUCUAAUGGAAGAGGCACUAUGCAAGAAAUUGUGCAUGUGUGUGUAUUUGUGUGUGUGUGAUAAUGGUGAUUCCUUUUUUAAUCACAGGUUAAAAUGUAAAAGGUUACAUGGCCUAUGAAAGUUAUUCUAACUAAAUUUCCUGGGUCUGGGAACAGAAAUAGGACGUGUUUAUAUUUCUUCAUCAGGAAGUUUAUUUUAGUAGUUAUUUGAAAAAUAGAUACUAGGACCAGGAGAUCAUUAUAUACUUCAACAACAAUACUAUAUGAUGAUCAAUUCUGAUGGAUGUGGCCCUCUUCAGCUAUGAGAUGAACCAAAUUAGUUCCAAUAGAACAUUAAUGAAUUGAACUAGCUACACCCAGCGAAAGAACUCUGGGAAAUGGGUAUGAACCACUACAUAGAAUUCCCAAACCCUCUAUUUUUGUCCGCCUGCAUUUUUGAUUUCCUUCACAGGCUAAUAGUACACUAUUUCAAAGUCUGAUUCUUUUUGUGCAGCAAAAUAACUGUAUGGACAUGUAUACAUAUAUUUUAUUUAACAUAUACUUUAACAUAUUUAACAUGUAUCGGUUUACCUGCCAUCUGGAAGAAGGAGUGGGGGAAAGGAGGGGAAAAAUUGGAACAGAUUUUGCAAUUGUCAAUGCUGAAAAAUUACCCAUUCAUAUAUCUUGUAAAUAAAAAGCUAUAAUAAAUAAAUAGAUACUAAUUAUGGCAAUUAAGUCAUUUAUAGAAUGCUUUAGCUCAGUGUAUAAUGAAACUCAAAUGGAUAUACACACAUGUAUAUAUCACUUUGCAAAUGUCAAAAUACUAAAUGUCAGAUGAUGUUAUUUAUUUGUGUAUUAUCUGCGUUAUAGAUUAAAAAAACAGACUUGGAUUAAGUGACUUGACCCCUUUCACAUAGAUAUGAAGUAUUACAGGCAGGAUCUGAACCCACAUCUAGCACUUUAUCAACCAUAUAGGAUGUCCUACAAGUCUUACUACAGUUUUAAGCUUUAAUAAUUUACUGCACUGUCUUUUGUGACCUAGUAUGUUAUUGGAUUAGGAAGAAUUCAUUUACCAUGCAUUCCUUGAACACCUUCUUUAUGUCUAGAACUACCAUGGCAGGCACAGGAGGGGAGAGGAGCAGUGGGAGUCAAAGCCUUCUCUCAGUUGCAGUCUAGUAGGCUCAGUUCUGAUGCAUUCCUUUAUUCCAUUGAGUAGGGAUGGACAGUGGCCACUAGAGAGCUCCAGUGCUUUCUAAGAAAUUAGCCUCUGCCUUGAACUUAGAACUCUCAAGCAGACCAUUUAAGGCCAAGUUUACCAUGUUUACUGCGUUAUCUAAUCUGCUUCCAUGACAAUUAGGCGAUAUCUAUCCCUAAGGUUAAACAAAUCCCAGGACUGGAGGAGGUUUCUGUUUAAGUUAAUCUUAUUUGACUCUAGGUACCAGAAAUGUUUUAAGGUUUUUCAAACAGUUCAUUCCAGAGAAGUCAGAAAGAAGCUCAAACAAGGGGACAGAGGCACAAAUACCAAUCCCAUGCACAUAGCUAGAGGCCCAUAGAAAGUUCUACUGUAUAGCCACUCCCAGACUAACCCAAGAAAUAUAUGACAUGUAUUAGAAAAGAGAAAAUGUGCACACUUCAGAUUUGUGUAUACAAAUACAAGAAACACAUAGGUGGCCAGGAACUGCAUGUUGCUUGAGUGCUCACAAAUGGAAGGCUUACACUAUGAUAGGAAAACUCAAAAUAUGAUACUACAGAAGGAGGCAACAAUGUGAAAAUAACUACAACCAAAGUCUCAAACUAAAAAUACUGAUCAGAUUCAAGCCCAAUAAAAAUUCCUGAAAGAGUUAAAGAGCUAAGAGUGGUGGAGGAAUGAAAAUUACAAAAAGAGAAUUAACAGCUUGAUAUUUUAAAAAAGGCAAAAACCCCCAAAGAAAACAACGUUUAAAAAAAUAGAAUUGACCCAAUGGUUAGAGAGACUUUAAAAUAUAUUGAAAGAAUUCCUUUAAAAAGCUGAAAAGGCUAAAUGGAAAAGGAGAAACAAAAAUUCACAGAAAAAUUCCUGAAAAAUUAGAAUUGAGUAAGUGGAAAGUAAUGAUGCCAUGAGACAUCAAAAACUAAAAUCAAAAGAAUGAAAAAAUAGAAAAAAAAUUGUGAAAGAUUUCAUUGGGAAAACAACUGACCUGGAAAAUAGAUCAGGGGAGAGAUAAUUUAAGAACUAUUGGACUGUUUGAAAGCCAUGAUUAAAAAAAAAACCCAAAGGAACCCCCCGAAACCGAGUUAUCUUUUCUAAAAAAUUAUAAAAGUUCCCUGACAUCUUAGUACAGAAGGUAAAAUGGAAAUUGAGAGAUGCUACCAUUCAUCUUCCCUAUUUUUCCUAGUGUAGCCUUCUUUCUCAUUCCUUAUUUAUUUAUUUUUGAGAGAGGGUGUCAUCCAAACAUAAAUCCACUCACACUCAUGCCCUCUAAGUAUGCACUUAUUAACCGCUUAAUAAUGAUAAGGUUCUUAAUAGAUACACAUAUCAGCUUCUCAUAUUUGAAAUGAAAACCAUUUAUUCUUAUUGAAUCCCUUAUGAUUUCUUUCCUGUUUACCUCACUGUAAUGUCAAAGCUACUAAAUGUUAUGUUACCUUGAAUGUAAGUGCCACAAUAUUUGAAUUGUUUCUUCUGGCUGCUUACAGUAUUUUCUAUUUGACUUGGGAGCUCUGUAAUUUAGCUAUAAUAUUAUUGAGAAUUUUCAUUUUGAGAUCUCUUCUAGGCUCUUUUUUUUUUUAUCAUGGCUUUUAGGCAGUUCAAUUCUGAUUUUUAAAAAUAUAUUUUUUCAUCACUGAGUUUAUGUACCUUCUUUUUCAUUUGUCCAGUUUUACUUUUUAAGGAGUUGCUUUCUUUUGUGAAUUGUUAUCUAUUCCAUUAGGUCAGUUCUGCUUUUUCUUAAAGUUAUGCUCUUUAGUGGAUUUUUGUGUUUCUUUUUAUCAUCUGGCAUAUUGUUUUUUAAGGUGUUAUUUUCUUUUGUGCAUUACUCUCAUUUCUUUCCUCAAUUUUCCCUCUACCUCAUAAAAGUAUGUUUUUUCCUCAUUUUAAAAAAAGUUAUAGUACAGUCAAAAAAGAAUUAAGUGAUCCUUGGCACUGUACUGUAUGCCGAAUAUACAACAGAAGACAAAACAUUCUCUCUCUGCCUUCAGGGAAAUUACAUUCUAAUGGAAGAGGCACUAUGCAUAUAACUUCUAAAUAAAAAGCUAUAAUAAUAAUAAAAAAAGAUAUUAGUUCUUUAAAAAAAGUGAAUGUUGCAAACUUGAAAACAAAAUAUUUAAACUUGACCCCAGGGAAGUAGAGGUGUAUGUGUGCAGUGGUCCAUGGGUGUGUAACAUUAUGUAUAUUGUCAUAUUUUUUGAUUUAUUGGAUCAGUUCUGCAGAUUUUUUACUCCUUAAAAAAUAUUUGUUUUAUGGGUUGGCUUUCUGUGAGGGAGAAAAAGGAGGGAUACAUGAGGAAAUCAAAAAGAAAAAUAUCAACAAAAUUUAUUUAAAAAAUGAAAAAAAAUGAAGAAAUAUAUAAUCUUGUAGCCUUCCAUGUUCUAAAAGUCAAAUGAAGCAUUUGUGUAUCUACCAUGUCCAAGCCAUUGGUGUUGAGUGCUGGGAGCCAUAGAGCUGAAAAUUAUAUAGGACCAUAUAAUCUUUUAGAGAUGAUAAAUCAUGAAUAAUUAUGAUAUACUAAAAUUUAAAAAGGAGAAAGGAGAGAUUCAGGCAGAAUGCUAUAAGAUAAUUUAAUGUGAAGGUGGCAUUUCAAUUUGAGGGAUAAAGAGACAUGAUACUUGAUGUAGGCAUUGAAGUAAGAGAAGGAUUUUGGUAGGUUCAGAUAAAGAAAUGAAUUCCAAGUUUUAUGGAUGUAUAGAGAUAGGAUGAGAAUAAGGAAAGCUCCUAGUUCAUUUUGUUAGGAUGGCAAAGUAUAUAAAGGUGACCAGGAUGAAAUAAAGAUGGAAAGGUAGAAUAGAGCCUUACAUUUUAUACCAAAUAUUUUGUAUUUUGUCAGUAGGGAGCUACUGAAUGUUUUUGAGCAAGGGAGUGAUAUGUUGGACAUAAACAGAAUGAUGAAUUAGAAGAGGGAGACAAGGUAGUUUGGAUGCAAUGGCAGUAGCCUAGCUAAGUUGUGAUAUGGGUCUGAAAAUAGGGUGGUUUUGAGUAGAGAGAUAGGGGACCAAUUUGAGAGAAAUUAUAAGAAAUAAAAUGGAAAGGACUUGGCAGAUAUGAUUGUAGGGGGAUGAUGGAAAAGGAAAAAAAUCAAAGAUAACUUGACAGUUACAAUCAGGCACAAGCAGUGGCUACUCCCCAGUAAACCUUCUGGACAGACAGGCUAAACAAAGCUGAGGGUAACUGAUGAGCCUCAAACUACCUGCUAAGUUAGGGAGGUGUCUCCUUCAAAUACUGUAAGACUGCCCUGGGUGCAAUGGGUGGAUGAGAGCAGUUGUUCCAUAGCCAUGAAGGAGGCUGAGGCAGGUGCUACAGAGUGCUUAGAGCUGGGUCAGACAUCGGGAAUCCCAGGGUUAUUUGCUGCCUCCUGAGCCUUUGCUGGUCAUCUUCACUUCAAUCCUGCCAGCAACCUGGUGGGAUUCAGGGAAAGAGUGAGGCGGGCAGCUUUGGAUUACUCUGCCUCUCGCAGUCUAGGUCAUCAUCACUCGAAGUCUCGUUCUUCUUUGAAAGCUAAAGGCAAAAACAACUGUGCCCAAGCAAUAGAGUGAAGUGGAAAAGAGGUUUGAGAAAAUUUUCUUUUUAUAUAGUCUAUUUGAGAUGCUAUUGAAACAUCCAGGUGGAGCUAUCCAGCAGGAAAUUGGAAAUAUAGGUUUGGGGUUAAAUAGAUAGACAUGGCCAUCUUUUGCAUAAAGAUGAUAAUCAAAGCCAGAGAGAAGAUGAGAUUAUUCAGACAGAAUAUAUUAGACCAAGAAAAGAUGACGUAGAAUAGAGCUUUGAGGGCCCCUACAUCUAAAAUGCUCCAGGAAAAAGGAGAAGUAAGGAGACGAAUAAGGAACUUGUACAGGUGGUAGAUGAACCAAGAGAACAAACGCCUGGAAGCCAGAAAGAAAUAGUAUAAAUAUAAGGCAAGAGAGGAUGGUUGGGGUUAUUAAAUCUGGCAGGGAGAGCUAAGAAAAGGCCAUUGGAUUUUCCACUUGGGAGACUAAGGUCACUGGUGACCUUAGAGAGAGGAGGUUCAGUAGAAUGGUAAGAGACAAAUCCCUGAUUUUAAAAGUUAAGGUGAGUGGAUAGUGUAGAAUAUUCUUUAUAGAAAUUUAGAGUGAAAGUGGGAGAGAGAUUAUUUGAGUGGAUUGCAGGAUAAAAGGGAGGUUUUUUAGGAUGGGAAUACCAGAGAAUGUCAGAACACAAAUAGGUGGCACAGUGGGUAGGCCUAGAGUGAGGAAGACCAGAGUUCAAAUCAAUCCUCAAACAGUUACAUGACUCUGGGCAAGUCACUUAACUCUAUUUGCCUGUUUCCUCUUAUGUAAAAUGGGGAUAAUAAUAGCACCUACCUUGUAGCAUUGUGAAGCUCAGAUGAGAUAAUAUAAAAUUUUAGUACAGUGCUUGAUAUAAAUGUUAAUUAUUAUUAUUAUGAAAAGCUUUGAUUUCCUAAGAUAUAUAACUAGAUCUCUUAGGCACCUGUUUGUAAGGACCAACUGCACUUUUAAAAAGCAGGUCUCUGUGUAUAUAUGUACACAUGAGUACAUAUGCUUAUUAAUAUUGUGUUCUUUUGUCUUAUAAUGGUGUUCCUGAAAUACUCAGUAUAAGAGAGUUUUUUGGUAACAUAUUCUUAGUGCACUAAAAUAAUCUCACUACAAAAAUGAGCAUGCAAUAAAUCUUUCUAUAAAUGAGUCAUUUUGCAGUGUCAAUAGUGACUCUGAUGAAUCUGUAUUGAAAAAUCAGAUUUUCACAUCUAUGUAGAUAGUCAUGUUAGUAUUAUUGUAGAGAGUUUUAUAUUUCCCUGAGUGUGAUUAAUUGUGAUUUAUACGUUCAGGUAAUAAUAAGCCUUAUUCAUAAGGUUCUGCUGGUUGGGCACAACUAUAUAAAAAUUUGGGUCUUUGUUUUUUGGAGGGGUGGAGUUAAAAAUGUUUUCAUAUUUGAAUGUUUAAAUUUUCUCCAUCUCAGCUGUUUAACUAAGACAAUCAUACCUAACGAUGACUUGAAUUUCUGACUUGUGAUCUGAAGUCUCUUUAAGUUUGUUAAACAACAAUUCACUUCUUCCUUCUGGGUCCUAAAUUUUUUACCCUAUUUUAUCAUGAUGCCCCCUUUCCUCAGUUAUUUAUGUGUGGCUUAUUUAUGACAAUCCAAGUCCUCCUUCCAAAUAGUAAGCCGUUAUCUCAAGAUCUGCAGCACUGAGAAUGAAUCAAAUAAGGAAUCAGAAAGUCCAUACAGAAGAAAAUGAGUUUUCUUCUAAGUUUAUGACUUACAUAAAUGCAAAUCCAAACAUGUGUUAUUUGAAAUUACCCACCCUUCUGCAUUAAACAUAACUUGCCUCUCUAGUCAUGGAUGACAGUUUAAGGAAAUAAUUGGCUCAUUCUUCAUCUUAAUUUUUCUCCAUGUGACAUUUCCUUGGCAUGUAUGGAAUGAGAAUAGCAGUAGUGUUUAUAGGGUUACACAGAAGCAGUAUUAAAGAUUCUGGUUACCAGAUCUAGAGAACAUUCUCACUUGUCCAGAAAUUGAACCCAACUGAAAGGCCUUUUCCUUCUAGAUUCUUUUCACCAGAUGUUCACUUCUUAGGUCCAUUAGCAGAAAGUGGCCCCUGACACCCUCCUUGUCUAAGGUAAAUCAUGUGAUUUCAGAGAAUCAGACCUCACCUUGAUUAUCAGGUGCAGCAUCAGUAACUGCAGUGACUAGGAGGCCAGAGUCUAGAGUUAAAUAUUAAGAAGGUAGUACCUGUAAGUAUCCCUUAAGCAGGUUUAAGGGUUGUUUUUCAGUUUAUUGCUUCCAGUUAAUCAGAAGUUUUCUGGAAAGAACCAGGUGGCAAAUUCAGCUCGGAGACUCCAAGCUCAAAGCCACGAAUGAGCUGGCAGAACUGCUUCACCUUUGGAAGGAGGUGAAGCUUUGAGUCAUCCAAAGCUGAAGUCAGUUUCUAUGGAACUCUCAUUUCUUGGAAUUUGGCCAGUGAGCUUCAACACCCAACCAACCCUGUGAUAAGUGGAAAGAAGAUCCGAAAUGCCUGCUGGCUAGGUGUAUAGCCAGGUGUGUUCACCUUUUGGUUGCUAGUCAGCCUUAGCAUUUCUCUGUACAUUUCUAAUGUCUACCUGGGUAGUUAGAAACUUUUUCUGAGAUUUAAGGGGGCCAAGUAUCAGAAAGUGAUGUGAGGGAUUGCUGAGAAAGACUUCGUCAAUAUUUUUCUGUUCGUUUGAGGAACUCCAGGUCUUCCCUAUAGUACUUAUAAAGCGUAAUGGACGCCCUUCUGGCUGAGUAUUGCCAGAUGAGGUCUGUAUUCAGUGCUGGGCACAUUAAAUGGAAUCAGUAAUGACAAUAGAAACUCUUACCCUACUUUUAUCCUUUGGGUUAUUCUUUGGUCAUAAUGGUGAGGGAGAAUGGAUAUUUUAUCCAAGCCUACAGAGGUAGCUCAAAUCCAUACGAGAUACCUUUGAACAAUUGCAUAGCUGGUUCUACUUUGUACAUGAGUAUAUGAAAGGGAAGUAUAAGUGUUGGAGUAAGAAUCCAGGGCUUUGUUAAGUAUAGAAGUUCAAAAGUUGGAGUUGAUUGUUCAGCUCUUUGGUUUAUAUGAAAUUCAUUUUUAUACCUCUUUCUCUGACAUAAUCAUCAAGAAUAGUGAUGAUUCACACUUUACCAACACCAUCCUCCUUUGCCUUCUGCAGGAUGUGUGUAAAAGUAAAUUUUUUUGGUAGUUUUCUUCAAUUCUUGUUUCUUCCAGUUUCUAACUGGAAUUACCAAGUCAGAUAGACUUGGUGAUAUGUGCUCAGCUGCAUUCAGGGGAAAUUGUUUGAAUAAUAUUGUAAAUAUUUGAGUAGAAGAUUAAAGAUUUCCAGAAAUAGCAAAGUGAAAAAUUCAAAGAAGAGUUCAACUUCAGGACCCAAGCCAGCCUGUCCUCUUAGUCAAAGUUUGCCUCAGUGUCAUUGGAAGAUCCUGGGUUGCACAGGGUAUUAUAAAGAAUAGCUUCUUCUCCCAUAUUAUAUUCUAACCAUCACUCCCAAUUCCUCACCACUAUCACUUUAACAUAGGAUUUAUGAUGUCGUCUGGUUAAAUGUUACAGAAAGGCUUACAUUCUUCACAAUUUGUAAGUGUUUGAGUUGCCAGAAUAAUCAUAAAUGAUAUUGGUAUUCCCAAGUUCUAGACAGUAGCUGUAGCCCAAGGUAGACUCCUAUUGGUUUUACUAUGUAUAGGAGAGGAUCCACCAAACAGACAGUUUUUAAACUGGCUCAUUGAUUUUACCAAAGAAUCUGCAGCAUCCUGGAUAGAAUGAUUUGAGGGUCAAGUCAUUUGAAGACUUCUAAAGACAAGUUAGAAUUUGAUCAACUCUUCAAUUAUAGGUUUUCUGUUUAGAUCAGGACAUUUGUCUUUGUAGAAUUCCAUUUAGAUAAGCUGCAAACUUUUGACAUUGUUGCAGUAUCACCUUUGACCUCUGGAGUGUUAUAAAAAAAAGUGUGAACCAGAAAUCAACACAGCAACAGAAGAGCACAAUAUUAUGCUUAUGACAUCAUAGUUCUGCCUGGACAUAGAACUUUCACAUGGCAUUUAUAAAAAGAAGAGGUCCAUAUGCAGUAUAUAAAAAUAUUUAUCCUCUUAGGGUAGCAAGGAAGUAGAAAUAAAAAUCCCUAUUGAUUGGGGAAUGGCUAAGCAAAUUGUGGCAAAUUAAUGCAAUGUUUUUUAUAGGUAUAGCUGUAAGAAACAACAAAUGAGAAUACAGAGAAGCAUGGAAAAACUUAAAAGAACUGAAGAAAAGUCAAAUAAGUAUAGCCAAGGAAACAGUAAACAUAAUGAUUAUAACAAUGUGAAUGGAAAUAACCACAGUCACAAAAAAUUGAAAAUUAAUGUUACCCAGUUAUAAAGAACAAGCCUAGUCCCCAAAAAGAGAUGAAGAUACCUUCUUUGCAGAAAGUUGAGGAGGUCUAUAUUGUAAUUUUUUAUGUAUUGCUUAGUUUUGCUGAUAUUUUUCCUUCCUCUUUAAAAAAUAUUUUUUCUUACAAGGGAUAGUUCUCUGGAAGGGGGAAAGGAAAGGAGGGAAAGGAAGGAAGAAAGAGGAAAAUUUAGGUGAUAUAAAAAUAAAAGAUGCCAACAAAAAUUUAUUUGAAAAAAAGUACUCGGCAUUGGCCAAGUCUGAUAGAGGCAUUGAUUUUGACUGACAAAUACAAGAUACAUUGGUGGUUAGGGAGAGUAAUAAAUGAACAGAAAUUCAGUUAAAUAGAUAGGUAUCUGGCCCUGUUGUGUGCAAUACUAUUCUGGCACUGGGGGCAUAAGGAGGAAUAGAGAAGAAAAGAUGCAUAAGAUGCCAUUCCUGUCCCUUAUUGAGGAAUCUAUUGUGUAGAGAAGAAUAUGACAUGUAAUUACAUGUGUGCACAUAUACACAUAUACACACAAACAUAUCAAAGUAGUGAGAGAGGACAAAAAUAGUGAUAUGAGACUGCAGAAAAAAAGAGGAAUUUCUUUACUUUAUGGAGGGGAGACUCAAAGAAUAUUUCAUGGAGAAUUUCAUUGGGCUUUAAAGGAUGAAUAUAUGACAGGUUGAGGGAAUUGGGAAGUUUUGGGAUACGGUCUUGGAAUGGUGAGAAGUCUGGUUUGCUAGAGAAACAGAGAUUUCUUUGGUUUGAAUCUGUGACUACAUUUUUGUGAGGUUCACCUAGUAAAGAAACUUCUUCCACUAAUGCAGCUCUGCACCUUAUUUUUAUGUCACUUAAGAGUCUUAGAGUUGUCUGGGACAUUGAGAAAUUAAGUGAUCUUGUUUAUGGUCACCCAUCCAGUAUAGGUCAGGGGCAGGAUUUGAAAUCAGAUCCACCUGACUCCAAGGUUGACUCUCUAAUAUAUCAUGUUGUGUUAUAUGUGAUAUGAAGCUUGGAAUUAGGGCUGAAUUUUAGAGUGUCUUGAGUGCUGGACCCAGGUAGUUUGAAUUUCAUUUUUAUAGGUAAGUAGAGAAUGGCGAAUAUUUUCUUUUAAUAAGAAUAUGAUAUGAGCAGAGCUAAGUAGAUUAAAAAGAUAGUAGAUAAAGAAAAUCUUUAUUAUAGUAGCAUCAAAUAUAGAUUGGUGAAUAGCAGAAAAGAGGUUAUUUCAGUAGAGCAGGCAGGAAGCUAUGAGACCACUAAAAAUAUGGUACCAUUGUGGAUGAAGAAGGAAGAAUAAUAUAGAAUCACAGAAUUUUAUGUAUAGAUUUGUAAGGAGUACUAACAAUUUAGGUUUCCACAAACAUUGCAAAACAGGAUAAAGGGGAGGGGUGAAAUAUCUUGUUAAGAUAUCUCCAGUCAUUCAACAUGUGAGCCAAGAAAUUGGCUAAACCACAAAGUUCCUGAUAAAGGCCUAGGGCCCAAACUGGCUCAGACUGCCGAGGGUAUGACAGGGCACAAACUUUUUGCAAGUAUACUUACUUAAUGAGUUUCAUACAUAUUACUUAAUACAUCCCAGGGGGAGGAGGCAGCCACCAUUUUCUAACCAAUGGAAUGGGUGGAUAAAGAAGAUUGUAAAUCCCAUCGAUUGUAACUUAGAUUGUAAAUCCAACCAGUUGUAACUGGGACCAAUUUGAGCCUUGAAAGGAGGGGUAAAGAACCAAACUUCUGUAUAAAGUAUUUGUCCCAGUAGCUUGCAUUUGGGGAAGCAGUGGGCAGUGGCAGCUCAUUCCCGGCUUAAUCCCCAACCCUGCUGGGUUCUAUAGGGUUUUUGAUAACAAUUUGGGGGCUUGUCCUGGAUUCCCUGAGACCCCCCCCCCCCCCAAGGUGGCUGCUGCCUGAGGCUGAGUUGAAGAGAAGCGCUCUUGCCAACCUUUCCUCCGGGACUGCACAUGGGAUCUGAGACAUCGGUGUUGGCUGAGUAGAGUGACGGAACAAAUCUGGGAAAGAGGAAGCUGGCCGGGGACCAUGCAAGUUGUUAUAUCAAACAAGGGAAGAGAGGGGUAUGAUCAGAAGGGCAGCUAUGGAAAUGUGGGAGAGGAGACAUCCUUCCUCCUAGGACAUUUUUGCCUGCUGAAGUUAAAUACCUUAAUGUGGAUUCUGGAUGGAAGAAUAGCUGGAAUGAAGGAAGCAGAACCAGAAUCUCAAAAUUUGAAUAAGGCUUUCAACAUCACUCAGAAGAAGAAUGAAACUCCCUCUAAAUUCUUAAGGAGAAUGAAGGAAAAUAUGAGAAAGUAUUCUGUACUGGCUCCCCAAGAACCAGGUUAAUUUUGCAACAAAUUCUUGGCUGGACAUUGACAAAAAGCUCCAGAAAAUAGAUGGAGCAUCCUGCUGUUAGAAGAGCUGUUGAGGGAAGUAGAGAAAGUAUAUAUAAGGAGAGAGGAACAAAAGCAGAAGAUCAGACUUAUGGUAUAGACGGCAAGGGAAGUUGUGAAGAAGGUGCCCCCUAGAUUAGGGAGGCCACUGAAGGGACAAAGCAAGUUGAAUUUGAACCAUUGGAAACAGAUGGAUAGAGAAAUGUAGUGAAGCAGGACUCAAAAGAGAAGUGGAAGGAACUUCUUCAUAAAGGCUUGCUGGAACAGACCCCACCACUUGAGUUUUGCUGUUCAUCCUUUAAAGCCAAAUGACUGACCGAUGAUAAUGAUUUGGAAAGAGAAGAAAUGGUGUCCCGGCUGGGAUGGACCUCAUCAGAUCUUGCUGAAAUUAUACCAAGGAUCCAACUGAUGGUGCAGAUGAGCAUGCAAAGAGAUGUUGAUUCAAAUACACCCAGAAAGAUUCCUCUGUCCUUUCACUGACCACCAAACAGUUUAACACAUCAGUUUGUUCUCCAACAAGAUGAUUCCAUCAUACUUCCUAAAUGGAUAAAUGGCUUUCCUAACCCAUGCUUUGAACCUGAUUGACUUGGACCUUUGAACAUCAGAGGAACUGUUGCUCUCCGACUUUCAAUUGGGUGGAAAUAUUUAUGUUCUAAACCAAACUGAAUUUGGAAAGAAUCCAACCAUUCUUAUGGAUUGCUACAGAAGCAAAUUUUAACAUCUGCUUAUUGAGAGGGACAGUGCUUUUAUUUCUGUCAGAACUGGACCUAAUAACUUCCUCUUGUUUCUCUGCUCUGAGGCAGUCCCAAAGAAGGGUUUAUUUAAUGUUUUAGCUUGAACCUUUAUAGCCAAGUUCUGAACACAUUAUCUUUUUAUGGUGUAUUUGAUUAAUGAUUUAUCAAAAGUCUGAUAACAGCCAUGUUGAAGAGCAAAUUUGCACUAGAUUAACAUAUUGCUACACCUGCUGGUCUCCAGGGGACGUUGGGCAGACACAAGUUCUCCACCCAUCCAUUUCCCAGACUGAUUGCUGACUAUAAACUGUGGUAAGAGCCCUCUAAAGAGAUCUUCCCCUGACAUCCUCUUCCCCCAAAGUUGGUGUUAUGGGAUUUUCCCCUUUAAUUCUGCCUUUUUGACUAUCUGUGGAACACAUCUUACCUUUUUUAAAUUAAAAUUUUAUUGAUAACAUUCUUUUU